AACGAACGCUGGCGGCAGGCCUAACACAUGCAAGUCGAGCGAGACCUUCGGGUCUAGCGGCGGACGGGUUUGUAACGCGUGGGAACGUGCCCUUCUCUGCGGAAUAGCCACUGGAAACGGUGAGUAAUACCGCAUACGCCCUUCGGGGGAAAGAUUUAUCGGAGAAGGAUCGGCCCGCGUUAGAUUAGAUAGUUGGUGGGUAACGGCCUACCAAGUCUACGAUCUAUAGCUGGUUUUAGAGGAUGAUCAGCAACACUGGGACUGAGACACGGCCCAGACUCCUACGGGAGGCAGCAGUGGGGAAUCUUAGACAAUGGGCGCAAGCCUGAUCUAGCCAUGCCGCGUGUGUGAUGAAGGUCUUAGGAUCGUAAAGCACUUUCGCCAGGGAUGAUAAUGACAGUACCUGGUAAAGAAACCCCGGCUAACUCCGUG
This 432-nucleotide ribosomal RNA is filed under the name uncultured bacterium. RNAcentral describes it as "bacterial SSU rRNA". It matches the Rfam family "Bacterial small subunit ribosomal RNA", at positions 29 to 507 of the family's 1533-position model. The record is from RNAcentral.